AGCUCCAAUAGCGUAUAUUAAAGUUGUUGCAGUUAAAAAGCUCGUAGUUGGAUUUCUGCCAGGGUGCCAAUGUCCGCCGAAGUGCGUGCGCAGCGGCGCCCUCGCAUCCUUCUGUUAACGCCUCUCGGCAUUUACUUGCCGGUGGUGGGCUCAGAUAAUUUACCUUGAGAAAAUUAGAGUGUUUCAGGCAGGCUAGGCCGGAAUACAUUAGCAUGGAAUAAUGGAAUAGGACUACGGUCUCGUUGUUGGUUUGAGGGACUGGAGUAAUGAUUAAUAGGGAUAGUUGGGGGCAUUAGUAUUUAAUUGUCAGAGGUGAAAUUCUCAGAUUUGUUAAAGACUAACUUAUGCGAAAGCAUUUGCCAAGGAUGUUUUCA
Molecule: ribosomal RNA, 374 nt
Filed under: uncultured eukaryote
Lineage: Eukaryota
Description: SSU rRNA
Rfam family: Eukaryotic small subunit ribosomal RNA
Source: RNAcentral